This is a long non-coding RNA of Austrofundulus limnaeus, 1501 nucleotides long. RefSeq lists it as uncharacterized. The transcript is spliced from 5 exons. The record is from RefSeq and is a predicted model, not a curated record. Lineage: Eukaryota; Metazoa; Chordata; Actinopteri; Cyprinodontiformes; Rivulidae.
UGAACUGAGACACAGCCAUCUGACGUGGCAGCCAUUUUGUCUGUGGAGUGUUGACGUCAGUGGGCAUUUUUUAUGGUUUAUUUUGGAUAGUUAGUUGACUAAAUAGGCUGUUAAAGAAGAAAAUAUUUGUUAUGAAGUGUUCCGAGUGCUUCAAGGCAAGAAAGAGUGAUUUUUGUGGCCAGGAAAUAUCACAAAAGAAUUAUACCUUUUUUCCAAACGCCAUUUUGGAUCGUUUUUGGUCAGAAAGAGGACAAAUUAUGCAUCAAAAACUCCAGGUGAGUAAACGGAUCACAGCUGGAGCUGCCACAUCCUCACAACGAGCACGCCAGAACAUUCAAAAUGACAGACUCCACGGACCGCUUGAGCUUUCACAAACUGUUGCUGGAAACACUGCGGGGGGACAGUUUUUGCAAAAGACCUCCAGUGUUCGAUACCAGCUUUAAGGGCUCUGGAGGAAAGCCGGGCGCUCGUCGCGAGCGGCGGUCCGCAGCUGAUGAGUUUCUAAAUGACAGGAGGUGGACGAGGCCGUAAGAAGGGAACCGAUGAAGGAUUCAGAGGGUUCAGAGAGCCAUGUGUGUCACCGCUGAUGUCAGGCGUCCAAACGUCCAGGGUGACAGCGGCGGCAKUAACGGCCUGAGUCAGAGGAUGACAUCAGCGCUUCGAGCUGUCAGACAGCUCUGUCAACCUUUUCGUACGAAAUGUGUGACUUUUUUUUAAACGGUACUGACGUCACCGUCUCCUUCAGCAGACAAAAUGGUGGGUGAGAGGAAGUUCUUGUUCACAGAGGGGUGAGUAAACACAGAAACAAAGACACAGAGACAGACGGGUCACCCUCGCCCACAUUCAUUCAAAAUGCAUCAGGUUAGGUUGUAUUUUCCAACCACACGAGCUCCCCAGAGGUAAGACAGCCGACAAACAAAAGCUUCUCGGGGUCACGCUGAUUUCGCCGUUUUGUUUUUCUGCUCAUUAGAGUACAGACGAGUGGGGCCGGCGUGAGUCAGUGGGCUCAUGAAUCAUUGUGGUUGGUGCAGGUAACCGUCGGGCUUCCAGAGAAUCAGCCUACCUGGUAUUACAUCAGUGAAGUUUCGGAGGAUUACAAAAUUCAAAGUGUGAAACAAAAAGGGGCAUUUGUGUUCGGUUGAAAAUGACAUCACCUGCCUAGAACUAUAAAUAUCCAUUACACUUUUUUGACAUUUGAUUUUGAAUCAAGCAAAUCAAACGGGAGGUGAAAAAUCCAAGAUUACAUGUUUACCGAGACCCACUCAUUUUCAAAUCUUUGUGUAACAACAGCACUCAUCAGUUCGGAAGAUAAGAGCGUGAAAAAGAGAUUACAUUUAAAGAAAACAGCAACGUUUAUUUGCUCUACCACACGGUUUUAUUUAUGUUGAAGAAAACUUAGUUUAGUAAACCACUUUAAAAUAAUCAGUGGGUAGUUGCAAUAUACAUGCGUUGAGAAAAUAAAAAAAUAAUCUAAGCGUGAGUCCUGAUCAAUCAUCCCAGG